AAAUAUUAGUUCAUGUUACUGGUAAAACUGACCUGACAUUCCUACGUCAUCAUGAAUUCAUGAUAACUUUCAACGUGCAGAAUACUUGAUGCACACUUUUGAAGGCCCUGUAUAUGCAGCCAGACAGUUAUAUUUGUGGGGAGGCAUCUAUAGGUAAGCGCACUUACGGCUCAGAACUGUAUGACAAGCUUCAUCUCCAUGCAAGCUAGAAGUCCCUUGCUAUUUCACGUGAGGUUGACUCCAUGUACAUAUUACGUACCACAUGAGGAGGUGCUUUUCCCAGUAUUACUGCAAGAUUACAGGCUUUUGUGCUUUAGAUUGGUUUAGUUUGCUUCCAACUGCUCAUGCUUCUCCAAUUUUUUUUUUCUUGUUUUAUUCUCACAGUUGCCUGUAGUACACUACCUUGAGCCUUGCAACACAAAAUUCUUAUGUUACAGGUAGGUUCAUCAGAAUGUAUCUCCUUCCUAUAACAUGGAAAAAUUAUUUGAUCCUCAGUUACAAGGCAUAUAUCAUAUGAUUCUCAUAGUUUAUUUUCUUCUCUUAUGGAUGUGUGCAUGGGGAUCACAUGCAUGUGGGUACAUGUGCAUGUGUAUGUGAACAUAUUUCUUUGUGUUUGUGUAUUCUAUUAUCAACCAGAUGAGCUAUGUGCUGAAUCUUAUGCUGCUUGUUUGCAUAUCUAUCAAUACCAUUCCUUUUUAAAUUCUUCUUGUGACUCAUGAAAUUAUACUCAAACAAAA
This 737-nucleotide long non-coding RNA is filed under the name Phoenix dactylifera (date palm). Its description in RNAcentral is "long non-coding RNA (PDAC_LNC006037)". The record is from RNAcentral. Lineage: Eukaryota; Viridiplantae; Streptophyta; Magnoliopsida; Arecales; Arecaceae.